CAGUAGCCGCGGGAAUACGAAGGGGGCUAGCGUUGUUCGGAAUUACUGGGCGUAAAGCGCACGUAGGCGGAUAUUUAAGUCAGGGGUGAAAUCCCGCAGCUCAACUGCGGAACUGCCUUUGAUACUGGGUAUCUUGAGUGUGGGAGAGGUGAGUGGAACUCCGAGUGUAGAGGUGAAAUUCGUAGAUAUUCGGAAGAACACCAGUGGCGAAGGCGACUCACUGGCCCAUUACUGACGCUGAGGCGCGAAAGCGUGGGGAGCAAACAGGAUUAGAUACCCCUGUAGUCCCUGUCUCUUAUAC
RNAcentral lists this ribosomal RNA (301 nucleotides) under uncultured bacterium. RNAcentral's name for it is "partial 16S ribosomal RNA". It matches the Rfam family "Bacterial small subunit ribosomal RNA", at positions 509 to 807 of the family's 1533-position model. The record is from RNAcentral.